RNAcentral lists this unclassified non-coding RNA (324 nucleotides) under soil metagenome. RNAcentral's name for it is "partial contains 5.8S ribosomal RNA, internal transcribed spacer 2, and large subunit ribosomal RNA". The stretch from base 1 to 120 matches the Rfam family "5.8S ribosomal RNA", at positions 35 to 154 of the family's 154-position model. The record is from RNAcentral.
GAUGAAUAACGUAGCGAAAUGCGAUAAGUAGUGUGAAUUGCAGAAUUCAGUGAAUCAUCGAAUCUUUGAACGCACAUUGCGCCCCUUGGUAUUCCAUGGGGCAUGCCUGUUCGAGCGUCAUUUGUACCUUCAAGCUUUGCUUGGUGUUGGGUGUUUGUCCCGAGGGACUCGCCUUAAAGUAAUUGGCAGCCAGUGUUUGGUUUUGAAGCGCAGCACAAGUCGCGAUUCAAGGCUACACGCCCGCUUCCACAAGCCUUUUUUCACUUUUGACCUCGGAUCAGGUAGGGAUACCCGCUGAACUUAAGCAUAACAAUAAGCGGAGGA